AUUGAACGCUGGCGGCAUGCCUUACACAUGCAAGUCGAACGGCAGCACGGGAGCAAUCCUGGUGGCGAGUGGCGAACGGGUGAGUAAUAUAUCGGAACGUGCCCAGUCGUGGGGGAUAACGUAGCGAAAGCUACGCUAAUACCGCAUACGAUCUAUGGAUGAAAGCGGGGGAUCGCAAGACCUCGCGCGAUUGGAGCGGCCGAUAUCAGAUUAGGUAGUUGGUGAGGUAAAGGCUCACCAAGCCGACGAUCUGUAGCUGGUCUGAGAGGACGACCAGCCACACUGGGACUGAGACACGGCCCAGACUCCUACGGGAGGCAGCAGUGGGGAAUUUUUGGGACAAUGGGCGCAAGCCUGAUCCAGCAAUGCCGCGUGCAGGAUGAAGGCUCGGUGUAACUAGCUUGUACGUACGAACGUAGGAGA
RNAcentral lists this ribosomal RNA (423 nucleotides) under uncultured bacterium. RNAcentral's name for it is "bacterial SSU rRNA". It matches the Rfam family "Bacterial small subunit ribosomal RNA", at positions 30 to 455 of the family's 1533-position model. The record is from RNAcentral.